ACCCCCAGGAACGGCACACUCGCCUUCAUUACUGCAAUCUCUGCACAUACACAGCCGAUACUCUGCACAUACACAGCGGAUACACAGAGGAUACACAGUGGAUACACAGAGGAUACACAGUGGAUACACAGAGGAUACACAGCGGAUACACAGAGGAUACACAGCGGAUACACAGAGGAUACUCUGCAGAUACACAGAGGAUACACAGCGGAUACACAGAGGAUACACAGAGGAUACACAGCGGAUACACAGAGGAUACACAGCGGAUACACAGCGGAUACACAGAGGAUACACAGCGGAUACACCACAGAUACACAGCGGAUACACAGAGGAUACUCUGCAGAUACACAGCAGAUACACAGAGGAUACUCUGCAGAUACACAGCGGAUACACCACAGAUACACAGCGGAUACACAGAGGAUACUCUGCAGAUACACAGCAGAUACACAGCGGAUACACAGAGGAUACUCUGCAGAUACACAGCAGAUACUCCGCGGAUACACCACAGAUACACAGCGGAUACACAGCGGAUACACAGCGGAUACACAGCGGAUACACAGUGGAUACACAGAGGAUACACAGCACAUACACAGCGGAUACAGAGGAUACACAGAGGAUACACAGCGGAUACACAGAGGAUACACAGAGGAUACACAGGGGAUACACAGCGGAUACACAGCGGAUACACAGCAGAUACACAGCAGAUACACAGCGGAUACACAGAGGAUACACAGUGGAUACACAGCGGAUACACCGUGGAUACACAGCGGAUACACCACAGAUACACAGCGGAUACACAGUGGAUACACAGAGGAUACUCUGCAGAUACACAGCAGAUACACAGCAGAUACUCUGCAGAUACACAGCAGAUACACCGCGGAUACACCACAGAUACACAGCGGAUACACAGCACAUACACAGUGGAUACACCACAGAUACACAGCGGAUACACAGCACAUACACAGUGGAUACACAGCGGAUACACAGCGGAUACACAGUGGAUACACAGAGGAUACACAGCACAUACACAGCGGAUACAGAGGAUACACAGCGGAUACACAGCACAUACACAGCACAUACACAGCAGUUACACAGCAGAUACUCAGCAGAUACUCAGCAGUUACACAGCAGAUACUCAGCAGAUACUCAGCAGUUACACAGCAGAUACUCAGCAGAUACUCAGCAGAUACUCAGCAGAUACUCAGCAGAUACUCAGCAGAUACUCAGCAGUUUCUCCUGGGAGCGUGGGGCAGGGUGAGCUGCUCUGGCUGCCCCAGGAUCCCGCAGUGCCUGCCUUGGGAAAGGCCCCGGGGCCGUGGUGUCCAUCCUGUGACUGAUCCUCCGGGUGACUGUCACCUGGAGCUCCGGGUGACCCCUCCGGGUGUUCCUGGGACACGGCAGAGCUCAGAGCUGACACCAGAGAAGCUUCCAGAAGCUUCAGGCCUUUCCUUUAAAGAAGUCUCUUGGUGCUGUUGCUGGAGCAAGAGCGGUUCCUGGCACUUCCAGAGGGAGGGAAUCCUUCAGUCCUCCUGUCACCAGGCACGGCAGUGUCCCCCAAGGGGAGAGGCUGGGGACAUCUGUGGGGACAUCUGUGGGGACAUCCUCUGUCACUUCUUGGGGUCUUCACAAUCUUCAAAAUCUCACACAGAGCGUCUGUGUGGGCUGGGGGAUCCCUGA
Long non-coding RNA from Cyanistes caeruleus (blue tit), 1677 nucleotides. NCBI's taxonomy places the organism in Eukaryota, Metazoa, Chordata, Aves, Passeriformes, Paridae. The record is from Ensembl.